RNAcentral lists this ribosomal RNA (405 nucleotides) under uncultured bacterium. RNAcentral's name for it is "bacterial SSU rRNA". It matches the Rfam family "Bacterial small subunit ribosomal RNA", at positions 1078 to 1482 of the family's 1533-position model. The record is from RNAcentral.
GGUUAAGUCCCGCAACGAGCGCAACCCUUGUCCUUGGUUGCCAGCAUUAAGUUGGGCACUUUAAGGAGACUGCCGGUGUCAAACCGGAGGAAGGUGGGGAUGACGUCAAGUCCUCAUGGCCCUUAUGUCCAGGGCUACACACGUGNUACAAUGGUCGAUACAAAGGGUCGCGAAACCGCGAGGUGGAGCUAAUCUCAAAAAGUCGGCCUCAGUUCGGAUUGGAGUCUGCAACUCGACUCCAUGAAGUCGGAAUCGCUAGUAAUCGUGGAUCAGCAUGCCACGGUGAAUACGUUCCCGGGCCUUGUACACACCGCCCGUCACACCAUGGGAGUUGUUCGGACCCGAAGUCGGUGAGCUAACCUGCAAGGGAGGCAGCCGCCCACGGAUCGGAUAGCGACUGGGGUG